GCCGAUGCUUUAUGACAUGUUGCCGUGACAGAGAGCUUACAUGGACUGUAUUACGCCACGGCUGGCCCCGGGCUACGGGAAGAAAUUGUGAAUGUUGGGAGUUUAAGUUAAAUGAUAUGCUUUUAAUGAGAUCCUGCGUGUUGCAGAUCAAAAGGAUCACCAAAAGGUUCAUUAGUCUUUCUGGGCUAAAGAACUGGAAAAAUGGAAGAUAUAUGAAAAGUAAGAGAAAGAGGAAGACUACGUUUGAGCAAGGUUUCCAAGGACAGAGCUGAGAAGAGUCAGUAAUGGGAAAUGUGAGAGUCAACACAAAACUGUCAGAUUCAUUCUUUUUCUGAAGCUGCCUGGUGCUUUAGAGCGACAGAUUAAAAAUUAAAUAAAAUGCUUUUGCUGUGAAAUUUCUAAGUUCUUGGCUUCUACUGGCUUUGUCCUUCGGUGAGUAGCUAACGCUUCUCACUCCAUGCACUGGUGAUCUCAGAUGCCUUAGGAAAAAACCUACAGAUUUAUAGCUAACUGAAAA
This 517-nucleotide long non-coding RNA is filed under the name Ornithorhynchus anatinus (platypus). Its description in RNAcentral is "lncRNA (ENSOANG00000041004.1)". The record is from RNAcentral. Lineage: Eukaryota; Metazoa; Chordata; Mammalia; Monotremata; Ornithorhynchidae.